GAUGAACGCUGGCGGUGUGCCUAAUACAUGCAAGUCGAGCGAACAGAUGAGGAGCUUGCUCCUCUGACGUUAGCGGCGGACGGGUGAGUAACACGUGGAUAACCUACCUAUAAGACUGGGAUAACUACGGGAAACCGGAGCUAAUACCGGAUAAUAUAUUGAACCGCAUGGUUCAAUAGUGAAAGACGGUUUUGCUGUCACUUAUAGAUGGAUCCGCGCCGCAUUAGCUAGUUGGUAAGGUAACGGCUUACCAAGGCAACGAUGCGUAGCCGACCUGAGAGGGUGAUCGGCCACACUGGAACUGAGACACGGUCCAGACUCCUACGGGAGGCAGCAGUAGGGAAUCUUCCGCAAUGGGCGAAAGCCUGACGGAGCAACGCCGCGUGAGUGAUGAAGGUCUUCGGAUCGUAAAACUCUGUUAUUAGGGAAGAACAAAUGUGUAAGUAACUAUGCACGUCUUGACGGUACCUAAUCAGAAAGUCACGGCUAACUACGUGCCAGCAGCCGCGGUAAUACGUAGGUGGCAAGCGUUAUCCGGAAUUAUUGGGCGUAAAGCGCGCGUAGGCGGUUUUUUAAGUCUGAUGUGAAAGCCCACGGCUCAACCGUGGAGGGUCAUUGGAAACUGGAAAACUUGAGUGCAGAAGAGGAAAGUGGAAUUCCAUGUGUAGCGGUGAAAUGCGCAGAGAUAUGGAGGAACACCAGUGGCGAAGGCGACUUUCUGGUCUGUAACUGACGCUGAUGUGCGAAAGCGUGGGGAUCAAACAGGAUUAGAUACCCUGGUAAUCCACGCCGUAAACGAUGAGUGCUAAGUGUUAAGGGGUU
RNAcentral lists this ribosomal RNA (822 nucleotides) under uncultured Staphylococcus sp. Its description in RNAcentral is "bacterial SSU rRNA". It matches the Rfam family "Bacterial small subunit ribosomal RNA", at positions 28 to 832 of the family's 1533-position model. The record is from RNAcentral. Lineage: Bacteria; Bacillati; Bacillota; Bacilli; Caryophanales; Staphylococcaceae.